GGUGAAAAACACACCUCUUCCGGUCUGGGAAGCAACCGACGCACGCGACACAAACAAACCGGGCGGUUUGUUUUCUGAAUCUUAACGGUUAGAAACGGGGCUCGGAUGUGCCGUUAGCCGCUGGCCGGUCCUGUGUGGGCGGAGGAGCGGCGGUGAAGGAUGGUAAAGUGCGUCGUCUCCGGGUGUCCGAACCGGAAGGUGGACGUUAACCGGGGAGUCCUCAACCGACCCGCGAAGAGGUUCUUCAGCUUCCCCAAAGACCCGGCUCGGGUGAAAGUGUGGCUGGCAGCGCUGAGGGAGACGAACAAGCAGGACCCGACAGAGCAGCAGCUGAUCUGUGAGGACCACUUCCUGCCUGAAGACAUCUCGUCCGUUGGGGUCAGCACCGAUGCCAUUCCCCUCAUGCCCCCGUGCCUAGACGGGCACCUCGGCACCAUCAGCCUCUGGGGGGCCGAGGCGUCCGAGGAAGAGGAUCAGUGGGCCGACCGCGGCGGUGAUGGCGAUGAUGAUGAAGGUGGAGGCGAUGAGCUCCUUGCUGUGAAGCCUCCUGCAGUGGAUCCACUACAGCAGGACUCAGGUGCCCAGAAAACUCCAGGGUCUAAGACGACAAGUAAGAGUCUGCAUCAGAGGAAAAAGACGGUCCAGACCAGGAGGGCCAAACAGGACUGGUCCCUGGGGAUCCUGACGCAGCACUUCCUGCAGCUGCUGCUGGCGGCGCCGGACGGCCUGCUGGACCUCCGGCAGGUGAUGACCAAGCUGAAUAUCUGCAGGCAGCGAGUCUACGACGUCACCAACAUCCUGUGCGGCAUCAACGUCAUCAAGAAGCCGGCGCCCAGCAGGGUCAAGUGGAUAGGAAGUUGUCCAAUCAGCAGCUUCCUGUGGAAGAACCAGGAGAACCUGCGGAGGGAGGUGGAGAACAUGAAGCUGGUGGAGGACACGCUGGACACCCUGAUCAGGAGCUGCACCCUGCAGCUGUUGGCGCUGACCCAAGACCAGCAGAACUCUGAGAUGGCCUACGUGACCCACCAGGACGUCAGCCGCCUCGCAGCCUUGCAGGAGCAGACGGUGAUCGUGGUCAAAGCUCCAGAGGAAACUAAGCUGGAGAUUCUUGCACCCAAACAGCAUCCGGGUCCAUAUGAAGGGGGGGGUGGGUCCCAUUGCGGUGCUGACCUGUGAAGUUGCGACUGGAGAGAAGAGCGACUCUUUUGUAACUCUGGAGGAAAGCCGGAUUACGACCGCGGAGCUGCACACUGGGUCCUCGAGUCCACAGAGCGCCACCAACUGACCUCCAGCUGACCUCCAGCUGACCUCCAACUGACCUCCAGCUGACCUCCAACUGACCUCCAGCUGACCUCCAGGAAGCCCAGCGUUCAGCCAAACCUGGAAGAGUUACAGAAACAUUUUGUCUCCAGGUCUCAGAGGAACUGAAGUUUCCCUGCUGGUGAAACAGAGACUUGAACUGACUGAGCUCAUGUGUGAGUCUGGAAACAGCAUUGAGCUGAAACACAUUUAAUCUGAUCAGGGACCAAACAAACACGUUCCAACAUGAGGAGCAGUUUUUAAGGAGCAGUUUGUUUGUAUCAUAAUCAUGUACUUUACAUUUACUGUAUUAUAUUAUACUUUUGUAUUUUAUGAUUUAUUGUUUCUUUAUGUUUUGAAUAAAAAAUAUUUUCAUCUUGGUUUAAAAUUUCAAACUGACCCUCCAGUUUGUACUUUUGCUUUAACUGAGUCCUGGCCUCUGACCUUUGACCUGCUGUCAGGCAGACACAAAGAUAGGAGCAAAGAGGAAACAACUUCAGAAGAAUAAAAGUCUCAAGAAACAGGGAAAAAAUAAUUAAUUCAGCCAUAAAUUAUAAGAAAAACUGACAAAAUAUCAACACAAUACAAUAUAUUUAAAGUGAAUGGGUGAAAUCAAAGGUCUCAGUUUGAACUGUGGGACUAUUUUUUAAUGACAGUUACUAAAACACCCAACAUCCAAUUCAACACCUUUCUCACUGUUCUGUUUAAGUAGUUGGCAACACGAUACAGUAGUAACAUUGAAGGAGUGAAAGUUGAUCAGUGGGAGUUUAUUUCUGGUCUCAGGUGUUUCACAGCGCAGGAUUAAAAAAAUGGUCUGAUGCCUUUACAGCAGCACCACCCAGUGGACACACUGCGUCAUGACAAACUGCAGAGCCACAGUUUCAAGGCAGCAUUCAGAGCUUAAUGCACAACACAGAACAGAGGGUUAACAGGAAAUGAUACCUGAUUGUCUCUUGGUGUGUGUCAGUGCUCAGGUACUGGUUCCCAUGGGUGACACCACAACCUCCAAACUUAAAGCUGAACCCUGUUCCCAAAUCCUCCCACAGUCUCUCCUCCAUCAAACUGUCAGAACAGCAGCUCUGUGGAGGAACCACCUCGUUGAUGAGAGAGGUCAAAGGGUCAGAGGAGAAUGGGCAGACUGGUUGGAGCUGAGAAAAAGGCUAUGGUCACUCAGAUAACCACUCUUUACUCUUUUAAGAGUGGUGAACAGAAAAGCUUCAGAGCUUACCACAUGUAUAACCUUGAGGUGGAUGGACUACUACAGCAGAAGACCACGUCAGGGUCCACUUCCUGUCAGUGAGAAUGAGAAUCUGAGGCUGCAGUGCUGCUACUACCUUGUCACGGAAGUCAUAUAGACACCCAUGACUAUCGUAGUAUAGUAAGGCAUGAAAACAUCAUAGUAUAACAUGUCAUGAAUAACUUAAUAGUAUAAUAUGUCAUAAAAUCAUGCAGUCUUCUGGCUCUGCCAUGGCCUCCAGGAUUGUUUUGUCCAUUGUGUGUUGCUUCUGCUCCGUUUCCCUUCAGGUCCUGGUAGGUGGAGUUGGCGUUGAUGCAACGGGGGUCCAAACCAGAAUGAAUUUAAGUCCAUCCAUCCCCAUUGUCUCUCACUCACUCAAUCACUGGAUCUCCCCCUUACACCACAUUGUUUCUUUUGUUUGUUUUGCUUUGGUUGUACUUUUAAUUUGUAUCAUUUAACACAACAGUUUCACACAUUCACUCACCAACAUUACUGACCAACUGACUAGCCAUUUCAUACGUUUGAUUGAUAUGUUUGGCUUUCUUUUAUGUAAAUAAACAUGAUUGAUUCUUU
Seriola aureovittata is the source of this 3109-nucleotide RNA transcript. It is a transcript of the gene named E2F transcription factor 6, with no coding region annotated. The record is from RefSeq and is a predicted model, not a curated record. The transcript is spliced from 9 exons. Lineage: Eukaryota; Metazoa; Chordata; Actinopteri; Carangiformes; Carangidae.